Wyeomyia smithii (pitcher-plant mosquito) is the source of this 4527-nucleotide RNA transcript. RefSeq lists it as uncharacterized. The record is from RefSeq and is a predicted model, not a curated record. The transcript is spliced from 17 exons. NCBI's taxonomy places the organism in Eukaryota, Metazoa, Arthropoda, Insecta, Diptera, Culicidae.
UUGAGCUGUAUGCAUUAGUUCUUAUCAGUACAGCCAAUCUCACGGCUCGCAUUUGAAACCUUUCUUCGUCGUCGUCGUCGUACUGCUCUUGGUUUGGUUUUUGCAAGAGCUACGCAACUCUUUCCAAACCAAUGUUAUUGUUUACCCUAUUUUCAACCACAGUAACGCAGUCUCGAAGAUCUGGAGCGACCGGUAACGGAAUUGACGUGUGAAUAAACCGUCCACCCAAAGCCCGUUGGCUGCACCAUGAAAAAAAGAGUUCCCGUACAUAUCAUCGACUUGAAGAAAUCAAACCAUUUCAGUACCAAUUAGCGCUCCUGUCCUGUCCACCCAGUAAACAUUCUGAGGGAAAACGCUGCUAAAAUGAAUCUGAGCCGCCCAGUCAGCGUGUGAGCGAAAACCCGCAGGGAAAAUAAAAACGCAGCGAAAAUGUUUGUUUACUUCUUCCCAUCGAGUAAACGCGGAUUCUAUUUUCGAUGUUGCGGCUAAUGAAAACUCGAAUACUAUAAUUUUGUUAGGUUACCUACGCUAGGUUAUUAGGCCAGUAGUAAGCAAGCGCAUCAGCAUUUUACCAUCAUCAUCAGUCGAGUUUGUAGUUCCGACUCAAGUAAUCAGGAAAGUCAGGAGUUAGUUUAGUUUCUGCGGAAUCAUAAGCAAGGUCAAUAAAAGCUAGAAAAAUCCUCUCAAAGUACAGUAAAUUAAACAUAUUAAAGUAUCAUCUAGUAUAUUAAUCAUCCCAACUCGAACCAAUAAAAAAACCUUUCACCACUACUACUACUACCACCACCACCACCCAUAAACGGCGUUUGUAUCACACCUAUCGCUAUGGCUGAAGAUUUGGCUGACCGAAUUGACGAUUAUAUCUGUGUUUUUGAAGGAGCCGGUGAUUUAACGAUGGACACACUCGUCAUGUUACUAUUCGCGUUAGUCGUAGUUGUAAUAGCACUAGUUUUCCUCUCGAAGCUACUGUACGAUAAGUAUGUGAAGAAGGGAUCAGCGGCGGCGGAGGGAGCCACUGCGAGCAGCGGAACAGUGCCCGGAAGUCCCGCGGCCAGCGUACUGCUGGCGGGUGGUCUCGGGUCUGCGACUGCUGUGGGCAAGGACGUUUCCCGGCUGUCGGAACCGAAGGAGGUGCUGGCAUCGAAGAAGGAAGCUCUUCUCGCGCAAGCGAAAAAUGGCACACUGGGGUCAGGCGCCCGCGUUGGCGGUGGCUUCGGUGGUAGUCCACCAUUCGGUCAGAAACCUGGCGUCGGCGGCUCUGCUAUAGUUCGGAAGCGAAUCUCCCGCAGGAGUCCCGGUCCCGAGUUGUCACAGAAGAAGCGAACGGUCAUUCCUCCAUCCAACAUCAACGGUUCGGAUAUGCAAGUGGUUCAAUGGGCUAUUCAUCUCUUCCGAUGGCUCUACUCUGAUCUGGUCGUCGUGAACAAGCUGAUGCAGGACUGGGUUGGUACUAUAAAUACCGCUUUGCUGUCCUACGUGGACCAGCACGAGAUGAUCGUCGAAGUGGUCCGAGUACUACCAGAAAGUCUACCUCCGAAUAUGUCCAGUAUCCUGUGCGAACCAGCCGAACAGCAGAACGAGGUGGAGCUGCUGUUUGAUAUCGAAACCACCCCAGUUCUGCAGAUCAAAGCGUUCAAAUCGACCAAUCAGAAAACGGACGUCUCGCAUUACAAGGCGACCGUGGCACGAUUGAAGACCCGCAUGAGUGUGAUAAUUAACUUUUUCGGACUCAAGGGUGAACUGAAAAUGGAGGGCUUUCCUGACAUCAAAAUCCAUCUGAAUAGUAUUGGCCCACUGAAAACUGCGAAUGCCCAAGAUGAGAAGAAACAGAGUGACCUCAUUACUGAACUGCUGGCGUCCUCCAUACGGGACGUCGUAUAUCCGAUCGAUUUCUCCAUUUACUCGACCUGUCCACGCCUGAUGGGCGAGGAACCGGAGGAAAUGAUGCCACUUGAUUACUCAGGUUACGGGUACGUUGACAAUUACCGUUCGUAUCAAGACGACUCGUUCAGUGCCAGUUUAUCGACUUCACCGAAGAAAUUAUUAGUUAAAAUUGUUAAAGCCGAGAGACUCCUGCAGUGUUCACAACCGUAUUGCGUCGUAGAAAUGGAUGAACCGGCCCAAAAGCACCAAACUGCCGGCAAAAUGGGAGUGAACCCCAUUUGGGAUGAUACUUUCUUGUUUGACUUGUCAAACCAUUCUACCGAACUCCUAUUCGAAGUGUAUGACUCUGUAGCAGUAGGUAAUGGCAAUGCGGUUGAUUCACUGUUAGCUCAGCCUGUUGUAGUUGAGGCCACUGUGCCGGCCCCGUCGCUAGUCAAAGUGGUUGCGAAUGUCGAGUGUGAUGAGAUUGUUACCUUGCAUGACAAUAAUAAUUCAAGCGAUCCCACUAACUGCAGUAAUAAUGAGCAAGCCGAUCGUGACCCAACUGCUGGUCGGGGGGUCACAAACGGCGACGAGACUGAUCGUGCCCAAUCGGAGACAGCUGCUGUGCCGGCAGCCACCAGAUUGUUUGACAAAAUUAACAAACCUAACACGCCCGCCGGAGGAUUCCAGCGAUUCUUGGGUUUGGGCUUGGUAGGGAUCGAUGAACUAGCGAACGGUCCCGCCUCGACCCAAAUUUUGGAACUACAGCCCAGACCAUAUGAGACGGAAAACAUCACCGGCACGCUGACAGUUGAGUUUGUGUUCAUUGAUGCUCCGCCAGCACCGGCUCCACGCCGCCAGCACACACAGCAAUCGUUCCGAACCAAUGGAGAAAUGAACUUCGCUAGGGAUGGCACAACGAAACUUUCCUCCAGUGCCCCGGCUACUGGUGGACCGACAUUGUCAGGUGUUGGAAAAAGUACAAUAUCAUCCGCCCCGACCUCACCCGCGAGAAAAUCCGUCGGAAUUAUUGAAACUGUCAGUUAUAUGGAUCGUAAUCAGCGCUUCCAAGCAGCCAACGCUAAUCGACUGAAUAAUUCCUUCCUGAAGCCCCCCUCGGCAUCCGACUCCAGCUUGAACGGUACUAAGCUACAUCCGUCCGAUUCCACCCCGGUUUCACCGGCGCUCUCGUCCGUUUCGCAAAGCUUCAGCGGUGGCAGCUUCAGCACCGGCUCUCCGGAGAAUGUAAGCAAGACACGCAACAUACUUGGCACACUGCGGAACAAACUGUCGCUCUCGAAAAAGUCCAAAUCGGUGGACAAUCCACAGUACAGCCCCAGCCAUCCGGGACAGAUCCACAGUGCCUCGUCGACGCUCAGUCGCGGCUCGUCCACGGAUCAGCGAUCGAACAUUUUCCCAAACAUUAAGAAUCUCUCCCGGAAAUCAUCGAUGUCGGAGUCUUCCGCCAUUUCUGGCCUCUCGAAUGCCAGCAAUCGAACCUACCUCCACGAGGAGUCUACGCUGCUGCUAGAAACGGUGGAGAACAACAUACGGCGGCACUAUCUGGUGCCGAUCGAGGUUGCUAUGCGGCAAAAAACGUGGAAGCGCAAGGGCACGAAGCUGCACGUAUACAACGAUCACACCUUCAUUGCGAAGCACCUUGCAGGAGGAGUCCUUUGCCAUGUAUGCAACCGUAGCAUCCCACGGCGUCCGGGAAAGCAGGGCUACGAGUGCCGCGAUUGCCUUAUCCAGUGCCACAAACCGUGCCAUGUGCGGGCACCGCAAGCUUGUCCAAAUCCGAAGAUCCUCUCGGUGCAACUAUCAUCAUUGCCCCUACUGAAAGAGUAAACGAUUUCUUUAAGUAAUUUUUAACAAGUGCUUUGCAUUGAUGAAAACCCCCAGCCCCCAAAUUAAAGUGGCCCUUCUCAUAAGAAGGACAUUUCAAACCAAUUUCAUCUGGGCAUUUAACAACUGUCAUCAGGAACCAAGGUUACCGUUGCGGAUAUUCAAAGUUACGAUCCUAAAAAUCCAGCACAACCGACUAGGCUGAUGCUGACCGUUUACGGUCAGCAUCAGCCUAGUCACGAAUUCUUAUACAUAAACAAGACAUAAUGAUUGUAACUAAAUCGUUGAUAAUUCAUUUUUCAGCAUCCAACACAAUAAACAUAAACAUUUGAUUAUUGGGUGUUUUUCAGUCGUAGACAAAUAAAACAAAAAAUACUACCAUCUUGAGCGUAACAAAGCGUUGACCAAAGUGAAAAUUUUUUCUACAAUGGUGAUAAAACUGACAACCCAUAACAAUCGCUGUAGUUUAUUUUCUAGUAAGUCGAAAUAUUUAUUAGGAUUAAUUGAAAAAGGUGAAGACAAAGAAGAUCAAAAAAGCAUCUCUGGUCCUUUGGAUUGUGAAGGGAAUUAAACGUUCAGCACGCACAGAAGCCAAUCAAGUGCGUUAAACGUGGUUAACAGUUUAGACCGUUUCCUAAAUAGCUUUACAACAAGCGCUCUGCUCUGCUCUCCUAUUACUUUACUGUUAGGUAUUUAUAACUUUCAAAUUACUAAUAGGCAGGCCAAUUUCGUUGCCCAAGCUGAUAAAACGACUAAAAUUCGAACCUCUCUAUCCAAAAUUCUCGAUCGCGGGAAAAUAAAGAUUAAACAAGCUGA